GGGCCCGUAGCUCAACGGCAGAGCAGCGGACUCAUAAUCCGUUGGUUGCAGGUUCGAAUCCUGCCGGGCCCACCA
This 75-nucleotide transfer RNA is filed under the name Planctomycetes bacterium SM23_32. RNAcentral describes it as "tRNA-Met". It matches the Rfam family "tRNA". From Rfam's summary of the family: Transfer RNA (tRNA) molecules are approximately 80 nucleotides in length. Their secondary structure includes four short double-helical elements and three loops (D, anti-codon, and T loops). The record is from RNAcentral. Lineage: Bacteria; Pseudomonadati; Planctomycetota. RNAcentral also lists the same sequence under 1 other name.